UACGUAGGUGGCAAGCGUUGUCCGGAUUUAUUGGGUUUAAAGGGUGCGUAGGCGGUCAAGUAAGUCAGCGGUGAAAUCCGGCAGCUCAACUGUCGAUGUGCCAUUGAUACUGCAUGACUUGAGUACUGAUGAGGUAGGCGGAAUUGACGGUGUAGCGGUGAAAUGCUUAGAUAUCGUCAAGAACACCGAUAGCGAAGGCAGCUUACUAAGCAGUAACUGACGCUGAUGCACGAAAGUGUGGGAUCAAACAGG
This 252-nucleotide ribosomal RNA is filed under the name uncultured bacterium. RNAcentral's name for it is "partial 16S ribosomal RNA". It matches the Rfam family "Bacterial small subunit ribosomal RNA", at positions 524 to 776 of the family's 1533-position model. The record is from RNAcentral.